Molecule: ribosomal RNA, 489 nt
Filed under: uncultured bacterium
Lineage: Bacteria
Description: bacterial SSU rRNA
Rfam family: Bacterial small subunit ribosomal RNA
Source: RNAcentral
GGCUCAGAUUGAACGCUGGCGGCAUGCCUUACACAUGCAAGUCGAACGGCAGCACGGACUUCGGUCUGGUGGCGAGUGGCGAACGGUGAGUAAUGUAUCGGAACGUACCUUUCAGUGGGGAUAACGUAGCGAAAGUUACGCUAAUACCGCAUAUUCUGUGAGCAGGAAAGCAGGGGAUCGCAAGACCUUGCGCUGAUUGAGCGGCCGAUAUCAGAUUAGCUAGUUGGUGAGGUAAAGGCUCACCAAGGCGACGAUCUGUAGCGGGUCUGAGAGGAUGAUCCGCCACACUGGAACUGAGACACGGUCCAGACUCCUACGGGAGGCAGCAGUGGGGAAUUUUGGACAAUGGGGGCAACCCUGAUCCAGCCAUGCCGCGUGAGUGAAGAAGGCCUUCGGGUUGUAAAGCUCUUUCGGCCGGGAAGAAAUCGCAAGGGCUAAUACCCUGUGCGGAUGACGGUACCGGCAUAAGAAGCACCGGCUAACUACGUG